AUGCAGAAUCGUUUCGGUCUACUUGUCGCGGACGUGAUGCCUAUAUACAUGAUCAUGCCUAGAUAUUCUCAUAUUUAUUCGCUUUUCUAUCAAUUGCUCGAUAGUAAUUAUUCGCUUUUCUAUCUUGCGUGUGGGUAUGAGAGUAAGAAAUUACCAGAUUAUGUUUGCAAGCUUGAUAAAGCACUCUAUGGUUUAAAGCAAGCACCCAGAGCAUGGUAUUCCAGACCGGGCUUACAGUUGAAAUAUCUUGGCUUUAUUGCUUACAAGGCUGACAUGUCCUUGUUUAUUUAUAACAAGGCAGGGGUGGUCAUUUUUGUACUCAUAUAUGUGGAUGAUAUCAUGGUUUCAAGUUCUUCACAAAAUGCUACUCAUCCUCUUUUACAUGAUUUGAGCUCAGAGUUUGCCUUGAAGGAUUUAGGUGAUUUGCAUUUCUUCCUAGUCAUUGAAGUCAAGAAAACUCAAGAUGGCAUUAUGUUAAAUCAGGAAAAAUAUGUCAAUAAGCUUCUGUCUCGCAUGGGAAUGAAGAAUUGUAAGCCAGUGCCUACACCUUUAUCUUCCUCAAAAAAACUCUGCAUAUGA
This 579-nucleotide ribosomal RNA is filed under the name Triticum aestivum (bread wheat). RNAcentral describes it as "partial small subunit ribosomal RNA". Lineage: Eukaryota; Viridiplantae; Streptophyta; Magnoliopsida; Poales; Poaceae. The record is from RNAcentral.